AACGCACAACUUAAGAACUUGCGAAAUCUACACAUUCUUGGCUCUUCUUAGCUGCGUUUUGCAGUUCAGAUUCUGCCAAGUUUUGUGUUCAUGGUUACGCGAGUGUCAUAUUUGUGCUAUAUAAAAAAUCGUCUCACAGUAAAUUAUAAUAGUUAGAGUAUCUAAAGUCGCGCUAAGGCCCCGAUAUUCUAUUUUUCCUGGUGUGAACGAUGACAUUU
Small nucleolar RNA from Caenorhabditis elegans, 218 nucleotides. Lineage: Eukaryota; Metazoa; Nematoda; Chromadorea; Rhabditida; Rhabditidae. The record is from Ensembl.